AGCGGGUGAAAAGCCCGCUCGCCGGAAGACCAAGGGUUCCUGUCCAACGUUAAUCGGGGCAGGGUGAGUCGACCCCUAAGGCGAGGCCGAAAGGCGUAGUCGAUGGGAAACGGGUUAAUAUUCCCGUACUUGGUGUUACUGCGAAGGGGGGACGGAGAAGGCUAUGUUGGCCGGGCGACGGUUGUCCCGGUUUAAGCGUGUAGGUGUGUGUUCCAGGUAAAUCCGGUUCACUUUAACACUGAGGCGUGACGACGAGGCACUACGGUGCUGAAGCAACAAAUGCCCUGCUUCCAGGAAAAGCCUCUAAGCAUCAGGUAACAUCAAAUCGUACCCCAAACCGACACAGGUGGUCAGGUAGAGAAUACCAAGGCGCUUGAGAGAACUCGGGUGAAGGAACUAGGCAAAAUGGUGCCGUAACUUCGGGAGAAGGCACGCUGACAUGUAGGUGAAGUGAUUUACUCACGGAGCUGAAGUCAGUCGAAGAUACCAGCUGGCUGCAACUGUUUAUUAAAAACACAGCACUGUGCAAACACGAAAGUGGACGUAUACGGUGUGACGCCUGCCCGGUGCCGGAAGGUUAAUUGAUGGGGUCAGCGCAAGCGAAGCUCCUGAUCGAAGCCCCGGUAAACGGCGGCCGUAACUAUAACGGUCCUAAGGUAGCGAAAUUCCUUGUCGGGUAAGUUCCGACCUGCACGAAUGGCGUAAUGAUGGCCAGGCUGUCUCCACCCGAGACUCAGUGAAAUUGAACUCGCUGUGAAGAUGCAGUGUACCCGCGGCAAGACGGAAAGACCCCGUGAACCUUUACUAUAGCUUGACACUGAACAUUGAGCCUUGAUGUGUAGGAUAGGUGGGAGGCUUUGAAGUGUGGACGCCAGUCUGCAUGGAGCCGACCUUGAAAUACCACCCUUUAAUGUUUGAUGUUCUAACGUGGACCCGUAAUCCGGGUUGCGGACAGUGUCUGGUGGGUAGUUUGACUGGGGCGGUCUCCUCCUAAAGAGUAACGGAGGAGCACGAAGGUUGGCUAAUCCUGGUCGGACAUCAGGAGGUUAGUGCAAUGGCAUAAGCCAGCUUGACUGCGAGCGUGACGGCGCGAGCAGGUGCGAAAGCAGGUCAUAGUGAUCCGGUGGUUCUGAAUGGAAGGGCCAUCGCUCAACGGAUAAAAGGUACUCCGGGGAUAACAGGCUGAUACCGCCCAAGAGUUCAUAUCGACGGCGGUGUUUGGCACCUCGAUGUCGGCUCAUCACAUCCUGGGGCUGAAGUAGGUCCCAAGGGUAUGGCUGUUCGCCAUUUAAAGUGGUACGCGAGCUGGGUUUAGAACGUCGUGAGACAGUUCGGUCCCUAUCUGCCGUGGGCGCUGGAGAACUGAGGGGGGCUGCUCCUAGUACGAGAGGACCGGAGUGGACGCAUCACUGGUGUUCGGGUUGUCAUGCCAAUGGCACUGCCCGGUAGCUAAAUGCGGAAGAGAUAAGUGCUGAAAGCAUCUAAGCACGAAACUUGCCCCGAGAUGAGUUCUCCCUGAGACUU
RNAcentral lists this ribosomal RNA (1524 nucleotides) under Salmonella enterica subsp. enterica serovar Oranienburg. RNAcentral describes it as "bacterial LSU rRNA". It matches the Rfam family "Bacterial large subunit ribosomal RNA", at positions 1316 to 2823 of the family's 2925-position model. Lineage: Bacteria; Pseudomonadati; Pseudomonadota; Gammaproteobacteria; Enterobacterales; Enterobacteriaceae. The record is from RNAcentral.